GGCAAGUUCAGAAUUUUCCGGCACUUCCAGCACCACCAUUUCCUCCGGGACAACCUCCACAGCAAUUGCAUCAUGGCAGAGUUUAUAACUUCAUGCCACAUAAUGCGCAGGCUCCUCAGGCUAUUGAGGGAUACGGUCAGUAUCCGUUUCAAGGCUGAGGUUAGCAGUGUGGGACCAUCAUCCGAACUCAUCUACUCCUACGAUCCAGUGCAGGGUAGAAGUUUUAUGUAGUAUUUCAGUUUCAGUUUUUAUUUACUUUUGACGUUGAACUCUCAGGGUUAUAUUUAGGGAUCCCUGACGUAGGAUUUCCAAGUUGUAAUGAAGUACUGUAUUAAAUAAAGGAUGGAUGGAUGUUGUAUUAUUUAGUGUUCCUUUCCGGUCUAAA
Cornus florida is the source of this 385-nucleotide long non-coding RNA. RefSeq lists it as uncharacterized. The record is from RefSeq and is a predicted model, not a curated record. Lineage: Eukaryota; Viridiplantae; Streptophyta; Magnoliopsida; Cornales; Cornaceae. The transcript is spliced from 2 exons.